CACAAAAGGAGUGAAAAUGACAGAUAUUAUUAAACCUACCAUCAAACAUGCAUCCUAUUCUUGUCAAUGCAGUCCAGGGACAGAGGUUGCAGAUCAACCUUCCCAACCCGAACCAUCCGAAGAGUGGCCUGAAUUUCCCGGGCCACUUAUGCAUGCACAGAUGGAUAAGGAGGUCCUGUUUCGCUUCAUCCGGUGGAAAGCACAGAGGUGUCUGCAACAAAUUCACGAAAGUGACCAAGUGGAGGAAUAUUUCUUCUGGCAGAUAAUGGAAUUGUUCUGCAUUCGA
Molecule: long non-coding RNA, 286 nt
Organism: Clarias gariepinus (North African catfish)
Lineage: Eukaryota; Metazoa; Chordata; Actinopteri; Siluriformes; Clariidae
Exons: 3
Source: RefSeq, a predicted model, not a curated record